UUCGCAAAUGAUGACAAAUAGACAGGGACAUCAGCACUCUAAGGAGAGUGAUGACUUAGUCUAAAAUGGGAAUCUCUCUGAUGCGUU
Small nucleolar RNA from Arachis stenosperma, 87 nucleotides. RefSeq annotates it as small nucleolar RNA R44/J54/Z268 family. The record is from RefSeq and is a predicted model, not a curated record. NCBI's taxonomy places the organism in Eukaryota, Viridiplantae, Streptophyta, Magnoliopsida, Fabales, Fabaceae. The transcript has a single exon.